Molecule: ribosomal RNA, 252 nt
Filed under: uncultured bacterium
Lineage: Bacteria
Description: partial 16S ribosomal RNA
Rfam family: Bacterial small subunit ribosomal RNA
Source: RNAcentral
UACGGAGGAUGCGAGCGUUAUCCGGAUUUAUUGGGUUUAAAGGGUGCGCAGGCGGAUUUUUAAGUCAGCGGUCAAGUCGUGGGGCUCAACCCCAUCCAGCCGUUGAAACUGGGGAUCUAGAGUGUGCGAGAGGUAUGCGGAAUGCGUGGUGUAGCGGUGAAAUGCAUAGAUAUCACGCAGAACCCCGAUUGCGAAGGCAGCAUACCGGUGCACAACUGACGCUCAGGCACGAAAGCGUGGGUAUCGAACAGG